This 274-nucleotide ribosomal RNA is filed under the name uncultured bacterium. RNAcentral's name for it is "partial 16S ribosomal RNA". It matches the Rfam family "Bacterial small subunit ribosomal RNA", at positions 523 to 796 of the family's 1533-position model. The record is from RNAcentral.
AUACGGAGGGGACUAGCGUUGUUCGGAAUUACUGGGCGUAAAGAGUUCGUAGGCGGACUGAUAAGUAAGAGGUGAAAUCCCAGGGCUCAACCCUGGAACUGCCUUUUAAACUGUCAGUCUAGAGACCGGAAGAGGUUAGGGGAAUACCUAGUGUAGAGGUGAAAUUCGUAGAUAUUAGGUGGAACACCAGUGGCGAAGGCGCCUAACUGGUCCGGUACUGACGCUGAGGAACGAAAGCGUGGGGAGCAAACAGGAUUAGAAACCCGGGUAGUCC